Molecule: long non-coding RNA, 516 nt
Organism: Haliotis rubra (blacklip abalone)
Lineage: Eukaryota; Metazoa; Mollusca; Gastropoda; Lepetellida; Haliotidae
Exons: 3
Source: RefSeq, a predicted model, not a curated record
CGUGAGCGACAGCUGGUGGGUCAUUGCGCGUCCAUUUCAUCAAAAUACUAUUAUCUCUCUCUUUCUACAACUCGCAUAACAGCGUCGUGACCAAUCAACCCCGCUAUGACGUCAUGUAAGAGAGAGUUUUAGGGCGAGGUUUUUAUAGUUUUGCCCAGCAAAGAUAAACAGCGCAGUGGUAGAUUGUGUUUGUACUCCGCUGUUUUCAUGUUAUUUUCGUGUUUUGAGGAACAAUUCAUCAACAGCAGGAUGUGAGCUGCAGUCGUCCCUUCACGAUGUAGGAAUGAGAUGCCCAACCAUCCAGUCACCAUGGUAACAUCAAUGACGUAACUGUCGGUACUUCUUGAUCAUUCUCUGCCAAAUGAACAACCGACGUCUUCCCCCGUUACCCAUUAAGGGCAAGAGGGCGCUCACCCCUCGGGCGAAUCAGCGCUCACCCAGCUCACCACAGCCACUUCCGGUGCCAGAAAUGGUCAUUACAGGUUACAGCACUAUUCAAGGAUCUGGUAACCAUGG